This is a long non-coding RNA of Protopterus annectens (West African lungfish), 347 nucleotides long. RefSeq lists it as uncharacterized. The record is from RefSeq and is a predicted model, not a curated record. The transcript is spliced from 3 exons. Lineage: Eukaryota; Metazoa; Chordata; Ceratodontiformes; Protopteridae.
UUGGGGACUGCCCCCACAAAGGCUACUGUACAGUGAAUAUAACAGCCAGCCUUGCAAAAGGUUACAGACUUGACUUUUAACUCAUUGUAAGGUUUUGUGCAAGAUUGCAGUAUGUGCAGAUUUGACAUUACGGCAUUUGGAUUUUCUACACUUUCACAUACAUACCAGAGUUGAACUACCAGACUACCAUAUGGUCACACAGUAGUCAAAAAAUGGGUCAUUGUCUGGUCAUGGAAUUCUGACCAGCCAAGUGCAACCAAAGUCAACACAGUAAAUCUGAAUGUGACAUAAACAGUUACUAUUUCUGAUGAUGGAAGCAAUCGAUGUGUGAGUGCAGCCCGAGUAAA